GACGAACGCUGGCGGCGUGCUUAACACAUGCAAGUCGAACGGAAAGGCCCUGCUUUUGUGGGGUGCUCGAGUGGCGAACGGGUGAGUAACACGUGAGUAACCUGCCCUUGACUUUGGGAUAACUUCAGGAAACUGGGGCUAAUACCGGAUAGGAGCUCCUGCUGCAUGGUGGGGGUUGAAAAUUUGCGCGGUUUGGGAUGGACUCCCGGCUUAUCAGCUUGUUUGUGGGGUAGUGGCUUACCAAGGCUUUGACGGGUAGCCGGCCUGAGAGGGUGACCGGCCACAUUGGGACUGAGAUACGGCCCAGACUCCUACGGGAGGCAGCAGUGGGGAAUAUUGCACAAUGGGCGGAAGCCUGAUGCAGCAACGCCGCGUGCGGGAUGACGGCCUUCGGGUUGUAAACCGCUUUCGCCUGUGACGAAGCGUGAGUGACGGUAAUGGGUAAAGAAGCACCGGCUAACUACGUG
Molecule: ribosomal RNA, 467 nt
Filed under: uncultured bacterium
Lineage: Bacteria
Description: partial 16S ribosomal RNA
Rfam family: Bacterial small subunit ribosomal RNA
Source: RNAcentral